This 70-nucleotide transfer RNA is filed under the name Xylophagaidae sp. E23. RNAcentral's name for it is "tRNA-Ser". Lineage: Eukaryota; Metazoa; Mollusca; Bivalvia; Myida; Xylophagaidae. The record is from RNAcentral. RNAcentral also lists the same sequence under 1 other name.
AAGAAGCUGGCAGUAGCGCGAGAAGUCUUCUAAAUUUUUCGUGGGCGUAUCAACCCGUUCGAGCUUUUUU